RNAcentral lists this ribosomal RNA (427 nucleotides) under uncultured marine bacterium. RNAcentral describes it as "bacterial SSU rRNA". It matches the Rfam family "Bacterial small subunit ribosomal RNA", at positions 360 to 804 of the family's 1533-position model. The record is from RNAcentral.
AAUAUUGGACAAUGGGGGCAACCCUGAUCCAGCCAUGCCGCGUGGGGGAAGAAGGCCUUAGGGUUGUAAAACCCUUUCAGCGGGGAAGAUGAUGACGGUACCCGCAGAAGAAGCCCCGGCUAACUCCGUGCCAGCAGCCGCGGUAAUACGGAGGGGGUUAGCGUUGUUCGGAAUUACUGGGCGUAAAGGGCGUGUAGGCGGUUUGUCUAGUCAGGCGUGAAAGCCCCGGGCUCAACCUGGGAACUGCGUUUGAUACUGGCAGGCUAGAGGUUGGAAGAGGAGAGUGGAAUUCCCAGUGUAGAGGUGAAAUUCGUAAAUAUUGGGAAGAACACCAGUGGCGAAGGCGGCUCUCUGGUCCAUACCUGACGCUGAGGCGCGAAAGCGUGGGGAGCAAACAGGAUUAGAUACCCUGGUAGUCCACGCCGUA